AAAAAGACAAACUCUGGUUUUCAUGUCCAACGUUUGACCGUCCGUCUUAUUUAAAAAAAUUAUAAUAAAAAUAAAAAGACAAGUCACGAAUAAAAUAUUAAUCCUGUUUUAUCAUCUCACAACGAUAAAAAUACGAAUUAUAAAAAAAAAUUCAUAUAAGACGAACAGUUAAAAUUGGACACGAAAACCCAGGGUUUGUCUUUUU
Non-coding RNA from Oryza glumipatula, 205 nucleotides. NCBI's taxonomy places the organism in Eukaryota, Viridiplantae, Streptophyta, Magnoliopsida, Poales, Poaceae. The record is from Rfam.